This 446-nucleotide ribosomal RNA is filed under the name Stemonyphantes sp. GH32. RNAcentral's name for it is "partial 16S ribosomal RNA". It matches the Rfam family "Archaeal large subunit ribosomal RNA", at positions 1923 to 2669 of the family's 2987-position model. The record is from RNAcentral. Lineage: Eukaryota; Metazoa; Arthropoda; Arachnida; Araneae; Linyphiidae.
UUCUCAUAACAUAACUAUGAGUAAAAUCUGCUCCAUGUAAAUAUAAAUAGCCGCAGAAAUUUUACUGUGCUAAGGUAGCAUAAUCAUUAGCCUUUUAAUUAAAGGCUAGAAUGAAAGAUUAAACAUUUAAAUUCCUUUUUUUAUUUUAAUAUAUUAAACUUAACCCAAAUAUAAAAAUGUAUUUAUAUAAUAAAAAGACGACAAGACCCUAUCGAACUUUACUUUAGUUUAGCUGGGGCAGCUAAUUAAUUAACAUUUUAAUUUAAAUAAUUAUAAAAACAGACCCAUUAAUAAUGAGUGUAUGAACAAGUUACCGUAGGGAUAACAGCGUAAUUUUCUUUAAAAGAUCAUAUUUAAAAGCAAGCUUACGACCUCGAUGUUGAAUAAUAUAACUGUUAAACGCAAUAGCUUAAUAAGUAGGUCUGUUCGACCUUUAAAUUAUUACA